AUUAGAUAAAAAGCCAGUUCAUGCUUUUACAGUAUGAAAAUUGGUGAUUUAUAAUAACUUAGCAAAUCGCAAAGUGAAAACAGGCGAUAAAUCAUUCAAGUUUCUGACCUAUCAGCUUUCGACGGUAUGGUAUUGGCUUACCGUGGCAGUGACGGUUAACGGGGGAUUAGGGUUCGAUUCCGGAGAGGGAGCCUGAGAAACGGCUACCACAUCUAAGGAAGGCAGCAGGCGCGCAAAUUACCCAAUUCUAACAGUUUGAGAGAGGUAGUAACAAGAAAUAACAAUACAAGGCAGUUAAAAUGCUUUGUAAUUGGAAUGAUAGAAAUUUAAACCCUUUUUAAAGUAUCAAUUGGAGGGCAAGUCUGGUGCCAGCAGCCGCGGUAAUUCCAGCUCCAAUAGCGUAUAUUAAAAUUGUUGCAGUUAAAAAGCUCGUAGUUGAAGUUCUGCUGAAAGUAACCGGUCUGCUUUUAAUAAAAGUGGUAUCUUGGUAUGUAUUUAGCAAUGAUGUCCUUUGAAGUGUUUUUUACUUUAUUGUAAUAAAGCAUAUUCAGGACUUUUACUUUGAGAAAAUUAGAGUGUUUCUAGCAGGCUGACGCUUUGAAUACUGCAGUG
RNAcentral lists this ribosomal RNA (612 nucleotides) under Hepatozoon canis. RNAcentral's name for it is "SSU rRNA". It matches the Rfam family "Eukaryotic small subunit ribosomal RNA", at positions 209 to 809 of the family's 1831-position model. The record is from RNAcentral. Lineage: Eukaryota; Apicomplexa; Hepatozoidae.